UGCCUGUAGUGUUUGGUGUCUUCAUUUGGGUGGCAACUCUGGUGCUCUUUCUCCCCCAUCCUUUUGCCGUGCCUGAUGCAUUUCAUAAUAAUUUUAAAAAGAGCAAGACUGUUACCUAGCAGUGUGUAGCGUGAGCUAUAGUCGUGUUUUUAAAAUGAUUCAUAUGCAUAUGCUUGCGGAUGUAUGCACCAGGCCAGGAAUGAAUCCCAGGGAAUCCUUAAUGGGCUUCAGAGUGGGGGCCAGGAUCUGGGGACCCCAGGGGAGCAGGGAGACAUGCUUUUCCAUGAUUCUUCUUGAGUUUUUGUUGUUGUUUUUUAAUUAGAGGAUAAUUGCUUUAUGAUGUUGCGUUGGUUUCUGCUGCACAGCAGUGUGAAUCAGUCAUACAUGUAUAUGUACCCUUUCCCUCUUAAGCCUCUCUCCCCACUCCCAUCCCAUCCCUCUAUGUCAUCACAGAGUGCCAGACUGCACUCCCUGUGUUAUAUAGCAGCUUUGCCCAGCUAUCGCAUUUUACACACGACAGUAUAUAUGUCAAUGCUAUUUCUCAAUUCGUUCUUCUCUGUCCUUCCCCUACCCUUUUUGGGUUUUGUACCACAUGUAUUUUAACUUCCUGAUUAAAAAGAUAAUUCAGCCUGUGUUUGUUUAAAUACAUUCUUUGUGUUGGUGGCUCAGAGGUAAAGCGUCUGCCUGCAAUGCAGGAGAUCUGGGUUUGAUCCCUGGGUCAGGAAGAUCCCCUGGAGAAGGAAAUAGCAACUCAUUCUGGUACUCUUGCCUGGAAUAUCCCAUGAAUGGAGAAACGUGGUAGGCAGUCCAUGGGGUUGCAAUGCAGGACCUCAUCUGCCCCCAGAGUUCCUUGGGCUGCAGGGAUUGUCAGCCCAUAUUUCAGAUGGAAACACUGAGAAGCCCAGAGGUUGCUUUGUUCAGUGACUAGUGAUUGGUGCAGGGGGGAAUAGGGCAGCUGGUUCUCAGAUGAGGAGGUCCCACCCUGGACAGUGAACAUGGUUGGGGGCGGGGGGCGGGCGCCCAGGACAAAACCACCAGUCCCUCGACUCAGGAUGGGGGUGCCCCUCCUUCUGGGCAUUAGGCAUGGCCAGAUGGGCUGUCCUCAGAGGCAUCGCAGCGCCCCCUGGGAGAGUGGGCCAUGCACUCAGGGCCACGCAGCCACAUGGUACCUUGCUGCAAAGCUGGAGGGUUGGGGGUAAGUUUAUUCUUCAGGAAGGAUACUGCACCACCAUCAUGACUAAGAGCUGUGACACUGCAACCCUGUGAGAAAGGCCUUGCGGUAAAGGGAAGCGGUACAGGGCGAGCGCGUCUCCUCGUGAUCAGAAAGAAGGACUGUGUUCCCCUCCUGCUCUCUUGAGUUGUGGGGUUUGAAGAACACACUGAAUUCUGUUUAAGCCCCUUGGCACGGAAGACUCUGAGUGGGUGGUGGCAGGAGGACUUGAGGUGUCGGGGCAUCGGGACAGGUUGCAAACUGCCAGGUACAGGAGUCCAAGAACACCUCCAGCAGAGGCCACAGUGGUGUGUGCAGUAUCGCCGCCUAAGAAACCUGGCCGCCAUCCCCGACCACCCCCUUCAGAGUCUCAGAUGUGGGCUACAUCUGUGGAUUGAGAUGAAAAAUCUGCAUAUCUGGUGGGCCUUGGCCUGGUAAUAGCACCGCUGAUGAUCUUAUCAGGUGAAAAAGCCCAGACACGGGGCAGAAGAACCCAGAGACGUGCUGUGGACCUAGCACGCGGCAUCUGCCUUGCCUCUGGGAGGGUCUGGCCGGCUUGCCGAGGGUCCCUGAAGAUGAGGCUGCUGCUGCUCUGACCUGGUGGAAGCGCCCUGCGGACUUCCACUCAUGCUGGGAUUAAUCUAGUUCCAGGCGGGGCGGUGGUUCCUGACACGCUUUGUACACCUCAGACCCAUCUUCCAAGAUGACUGAGGCUGUGCGGGGGAGCUUAACAUUUUAACUGAGGAAGUGGAGACCAUGGCCUUGAGAAUAGUCUGAUGACUUCUCACAGUUUUAAAAAAACAGACUGUGUGUUGGUUGCCAUGCCUGUAGCUUACAAAAAAUUCUGUGUUCUUACAGAACUUACAAAAAGUUCUGUGAUGAGUGGCUUCAGUCAUUAAAAACAAGCAUUUUUAUUUUUAACAAAAUGUGGAGAUGAUGGAGGUGCUGCUGACUGGAUAAGCAUUACCAACAAGGACCACUGGGGGGCGACACAACACGGGGAAAUAGGUCUCACAGAUGUCGUUUUCUUUUCCUUGCAAAUUCUCAACCAUGUUUUUGUAUUUUUAACUAAAUGAAAAUACUGAAAAUAGUAUAGCAGAGAGCACUUUUAAUGGAAAAUUAAUUGAUAACACAGUCUUAUUUCAAUUUUCUGUUUAUUUUUAACUUAAAUGACUGUGUAUAUUCCACAGUCUUACGAUGAGAAAGGCUCUAGAGUCAUGUCCAGGUC
This is a long non-coding RNA of Bos taurus (domestic cattle), 2438 nucleotides long. The record is from Ensembl. NCBI's taxonomy places the organism in Eukaryota, Metazoa, Chordata, Mammalia, Artiodactyla, Bovidae.